UGAACGCUGGCGGCGUGCUUAACACAUGCAAGUCGAACGAACCUUCGGGUUAGUGGCGGACGGGUGAGUAACGCGUGAGAAUCUGCCCUCAGGAGGGGGAUAACGGCUGGAAACGGCCGCUAAUACCCCAUAUGCCGCGAGGUGAAAUGAAUUUCGCCUGAGGAUGAGCUCGCGUCUGAUUAGCUAGUUGGUGGGGUAAGAGCCUACCAAGGCAUCGAUCAGUAGCUGGUCUGAGAGGAUGAUCAGCCACACUGGGACUGAGACACGGCCCAGACUCCUACGGGAGGCAGCAGUGGGGGAAUUUUCCGCAAUGGGCGAAAGCCUGACGGAGCAACGCCGCGUGAGGGAUGAAGGCCUCUGGGCUGUAAACCUCUUUUAUCAAGGAAGAAGAUCUGACGGUACUUGAUGAAUAAGCCACGGCUAAUUCCGUGCCAGCAG
Molecule: ribosomal RNA, 438 nt
Filed under: uncultured bacterium
Lineage: Bacteria
Description: bacterial SSU rRNA
Rfam family: Bacterial small subunit ribosomal RNA
Source: RNAcentral